AUGACUUUCAUCCCCAUCUUCAUCUGGACUCUGGUCUGUUACGCACAAGGGUCUUGGGGCCAGUAUGUAUCAACUCAGUCUGCAGCUCAAUCAGUCCAGCCUGGUCAAAUCACUCAGUACACUGGCUCACAGUAUUACCUGGCCUGGUACCAUCAGACGUCUGGAGAAGCUCCUAAACUCCUGAUCUAUUACACAUCAGACAGGUUCACAGGAGAUUCCACCUGGUUCAGUGGCAGUGGGAGAGGAAAUGGUGUUGACUUCACUCUGACCAUCAGUGAUGUCCAGGCUGAGGAUACAGGAGUUUACUACUGUCAGAGUCACCACAGUGGUCCUGUGUUCACACAGUGA
Oncorhynchus masou masou (cherry salmon) is the source of this 348-nucleotide non-coding RNA. The record is from the annotation of a RefSeq genome assembly. NCBI's taxonomy places the organism in Eukaryota, Metazoa, Chordata, Actinopteri, Salmoniformes, Salmonidae.